RNAcentral lists this ribosomal RNA (195 nucleotides) under Triticum aestivum (bread wheat). Its description in RNAcentral is "partial small subunit ribosomal RNA". The record is from RNAcentral. Lineage: Eukaryota; Viridiplantae; Streptophyta; Magnoliopsida; Poales; Poaceae.
AUGGAGGGUCUUCUGCAUUGGGACUUUGCCCCUGGCCUUGCCCUUGCGGAUCAGGUGAGGAGAAAAUUUGGUUCUACGGUUCAUUUCUCUCCCUCUCGGGAUGCCAAGCAAUUCUUUUUGGUGGCCACGUUUUCCUCGGCCUCCUUCCCUCUCACGGUUGAUUCUGUUGGGGUUGCACUCCAAUGUUGUCUUGGC